Molecule: transfer RNA, 76 nt
Filed under: Candidatus Synechococcus spongiarum 15L
Lineage: Bacteria; Bacillati; Cyanobacteriota; Cyanophyceae; Synechococcales; Synechococcaceae
Also listed under: 2 other names
Description: tRNA-Thr
Rfam family: tRNA
About the family: Transfer RNA (tRNA) molecules are approximately 80 nucleotides in length. Their secondary structure includes four short double-helical elements and three loops (D, anti-codon, and T loops).
Source: RNAcentral
GCCGCUGUAGCUCAGUUGGUAGAGCAACGCUUUCGUAAAGCGUGGGUCGUCGGUUCAAGUCCGGUCAGCGGCUUCA